Molecule: ribosomal RNA, 788 nt
Filed under: Proctophyllodes valchukae
Lineage: Eukaryota; Metazoa; Arthropoda; Arachnida; Sarcoptiformes; Proctophyllodidae
Description: eukaryotic LSU rRNA
Rfam family: Eukaryotic large subunit ribosomal RNA
Source: RNAcentral
GGGAUUCCCUUAGUAACGGCGAGCGAAAAGGGAAAUGUCCAGCGCCAAGUCUUGACAUGUUUGAUGUUCAAGAGAUGCGGCGUUAAUGUAUCGACCCAUCAUGCAUUGUUCUUUGUUUCAAGUUCCUACGACCGGGACUUCCAGAGCGGGUGUAAGACCCAUAGAGACGAGGAACCAGUGUAUGCUGAGCGAUGCAUUCUAGAGUCAGGUUGCUUGAGAGUGCAGCUUAAAGUCGGUGGUAAACUCCAUCCAAGACUAAAUAUUACAGCGAGACCGAUAGCAAACAAGUACCGUGAGGGAAAGUUGCAAAGCACUUUGAAGAGAGAGUUCAAAAGUACGUGAAACCACUGGGAGGCAAACAGAUGGAACCACGAAGUUUGCGUCUCGGUCGAUUCAAUCAUCACUAUUUGUCAAUUGUCAGUGGUCAGGAUCUUUUAGGAGGUUGACCUUUGGCAAUUCUGAUGAAUGGUGUUGGUGCAUUUCGUGCCGGGAAUGCUAAGCCACGUUCAACUAGAGUUGGGACGGCUGUAAGAAAGGAUCCGAGAAAGGUUGCCGUCAAGUGCUUGCAUUUGACGGUGUUAUAGUCUUGGAUCGGAACCGUCGCCUAACAUACUGGUUGAUGAAAAUUCUCCAUUUGGAGUUGAACUAUAUCUGCCUGCGGUUGUUAGUCGAUGUUGCGUAAUGUUCUUUGCGUAUCUUUCGAUGCGAAAAGGCUUUGCAAAAAUGUCGGCUAAUGGCUGUUUGCGUGAUAUGGUGGAACUGUGGCACGAGUAGGUCGGUCUCCAUCU